RNAcentral lists this ribosomal RNA (415 nucleotides) under uncultured crenarchaeote. Its description in RNAcentral is "partial 16S ribosomal RNA". It matches the Rfam family "Archaeal small subunit ribosomal RNA", at positions 330 to 747 of the family's 1478-position model. The record is from RNAcentral. Lineage: Archaea; Thermoproteati; Thermoproteota.
GUGCACCAGUCGCGAAAAUUUCGCAAUACGCGAAAGCGUGACGGAGCUAUCCCGAGUGCCGUCCGCUGAGGAUGGCUUUUCCCCAGUGUAGAUAGCUGGGGGAAUAAGGAGAGGGCAAGUCUGGUGUCAGCCGCCGCGGUAAUACCAGCUCUCCGAGUGGUGGGGAUGUUUAUUGGGCCUAAAGCAUCCGUAGCUGGCUAGGCAAGUUCCCCGUUAAAUCCAGCGAUUUAAUCGUUGGACUGCGGGGAAUACUGUCUGGCUAGGGAGCGAGAGAAGCCGACGGUAUUUCCGGGGUAGGGGUAAAAUCCUAUAAUCCCAGGAAGACCACCAGUGGCGUAGGCGGUCGGCUAGCACGCGCUCGACAGUGAGGGACGAAAGCUGGGGUAGCGAACCGGAUUAGAUACCCGGGUAGUCC